GAUGAACGCUGGCGGCGUGCUUAACACAUGCAAGUCGAACGGAAAGGCUCCUGCUUGCAGGGGUACUCGAGUGGCGAACGGGUGAGUAACACGUGGGUGAUCUGCCCUGCACUUCGGGAUAAGCCUGGGAAACUGGGUCUAAUACCGGAUAGGACGAUGGUUUGGAUGCCAUUGUGGAAAGUUUUUCGGUGUGGGAUGAGCUCGCGGCCUAUCAGCUUGUUGGUGGGGUAAUGGCCUACCAAGGCGUCGACGGGUAGCCGGCCUGAGAGGGUGUACGGCCACAUUGGGACUGAGAUACGGCCCAGACUCCUACGGGAGGCAGCAGUGGGGAAUAUUGCACAAUGGGCGCAAGCCUGAUGCAGCGAUGCCGCGUGGGGGAUGACGGCCUUCGGGUUGUAAACUCCUUUCGCUAGGGACGAAGCGCAAGUGACGGUACCUGGAGAAGAAGCACCGGCUAACUACGUG
This 465-nucleotide ribosomal RNA is filed under the name uncultured bacterium. RNAcentral's name for it is "partial 16S ribosomal RNA". It matches the Rfam family "Bacterial small subunit ribosomal RNA", at positions 28 to 507 of the family's 1533-position model. The record is from RNAcentral.